This 492-nucleotide ribosomal RNA is filed under the name uncultured bacterium. Its description in RNAcentral is "partial 16S ribosomal RNA". It matches the Rfam family "Bacterial small subunit ribosomal RNA", at positions 29 to 507 of the family's 1533-position model. The record is from RNAcentral.
AGUGAACGCUGGCGGUAGGCCUAACACAUGCGAGUCGAACGGCAGCACAGUAAGAGCUUGCUCUUACGGGUGGCGAGUGGCGGACGGGUGAGGAAUACAUCGGAAUCUACUUUUUCGUGGGGGAUAACGUAGGGAAACUUACGCUAAUACCGCAUACGACCUACGGGUGAAAGCAGGGGAUCUUCGGACCUUGCGCGAUUGAAUGAGCCGAUGUCGGAUUAGCUAGUUGGCGGGGUAAAGGCCCACCAAGGCGACGAUCCGUAGCUGGUCUGAGAGGAUGAUCAGCCACACUGGAACUGAGACACGGUCCAGACUCCUACGGGAGGCAGCAGUGGGGAAUAUUGGACAAUGGGCGCAAGCCUGAUCCAGACAUACCGCGUGGGUGAAGAAGGCCUUCGGGUUGUAAAGCCCUUUUGUUGGGAAAGAAAAGCAGCAGGUUAAUACCCCGCUGUUCUGACGGUACCCAAAGAAUAAGCACCGGCUAACUUCGUG